GUUGAGGGUUGCUUCCUCAGCCCCAGCCACUCUUCACAGAGUCCCCUCCUUCUGGAGCCCAGGCCAAGGCCUGUGGGGAUGGGAGGUGGUGCACGCUGAAGAUUAAGUUUUAGGUUUCAAGUUUAGGGAAAGUAUCUCUUUCCCUAAGGCAUCUUUUUCAACCCCCUUGUCUCUAGUCCCCUUCCCGAUGCUCUAGGCUUGCACCCUUGGCAGUGGUGGUAGGAGGUCCUUUUUCUUUCAUGGGCCUCCCAAAAAAGCCAAAUUGGCUUGGAAGUAGCUGUGUGCAUGGCCUGGGUGUAACUUCGUGACAUACGUGCAUUUGUGGAGUAUGUGUGUGUGCAUGCAUGUGAGUAUGACGCAGUGACACCUGAAACGUGAGUGUAUGGGCUUUUUGGGGGUGUGCAUGCCUGUUUGAUGUGUGAAGGGAAGGUGUGCCAUUUGUGUGGUGUGUAUAUGUGGUGUGUGCAUUUGUGUGGUGUGCAUUUGUGUGGUGUGUAUAUGUGGCGUGUGCAUUUGUGUGGUGUGUAUAUGUGGCGUGUGCAUUUGUGUGGUGUGCAUUUGUGUGGUGUGUAUAUGUGGCAUGUGAACACGUGUGCGAUGUGAGGAGAGAGGGAGUGAGACAUUCACGGAGCACGCCUGUCUCUCCUGGCUGUGGAUGACUGGACUCUCGCUCAUUAGGUGAUCCCACCUCAGGGUUUGUGGGGAGAUGUCUGACACUAGAGAAUGAACAUGUGCUUUGGGGAGAGGACUUUCACAUCCCA
Molecule: long non-coding RNA, 761 nt
Filed under: Homo sapiens (human)
Lineage: Eukaryota; Metazoa; Chordata; Mammalia; Primates; Hominidae
Description: long non-coding RNA NONHSAT237189
Source: RNAcentral